RNAcentral lists this ribosomal RNA (557 nucleotides) under uncultured bacterium. Its description in RNAcentral is "bacterial SSU rRNA". It matches the Rfam family "Bacterial small subunit ribosomal RNA", at positions 102 to 694 of the family's 1533-position model. The record is from RNAcentral.
ACGGGUGAGUAACGCGUGGGAAUCUACCGAGCCCAGCGGAAUAGCUCCGGGAAACUGGAAUUAAUACCGCAUACGCCCUACGGGGGAAAGAUUUAUCGGGGUUUGAUGAGCCCGCGUUGGAUUAGCUAGUUGGUGGGGUAAAGGCCUACCAAGGCGACGAUCCAUAGCUGGUCUGAGAGGAUGAUCAGCCACAUUGGGACUGAGACACGGCCCAAACUCCUACGGGAGGCAGCAGUGGGGAAUAUUGGACAAUGGGCGCAAGCCUGAUCCAGCCAUGCCGCGUGAGUGAUGAAGGCCCUAGGGUUGUAAAGCUCUUUCAACGGUGAAGAUAAUGACGGUAACCGUAGAAGAAGCCCCGGCUAACUUCGUGCCAGCAGCCGCGGUAAUACGAAGGGGGCUAGCGUUGUUCGGAAUUACUGGGCGUAAAGCGCACGUAGGCGGAUAUUUAAGUCAGGGGUGAAAUCCCGGGGCUCAACCUCGGAACUGCCUUUGAUACUGGGUAUCUUGAGUAUGGAAGAGGUAAGUGGAAUUGCGAGUGUAGAGGUGAAAUUCGUAGA